CUCUGAAGCAUCUUCACUAUUAAUCAAACAUUUGGUGAAGCUCAACGAUGAUAACUUCCUCUUAUGGAAGUUCUACAUCCUCACUGCACUUUAAGCUUAUGAUUUGGAAAGCUUCUUUUAACCUGAAUCGGAACCACCUCCCAAGCUUCUCACACCCACCACAAUCCCAAACCCUGCAACCACGUGAAUAUAUAUAUAUAUGUAUCUACACACUUAAUAUAUAUAUGCGUGUGAAAUUGUCGACAAAAUAUAUGUCUUAAUUAAUUAAAUGAAAAUAUGUUAAUGUUGUUCAUAAUUUGAUUUUUUAGAUGCCACAACUAUUAAGUUAUGCUCAUGUUGACCAACGACUUUAUUAUUAUUAUUUUUAGUUUAGUGCGUGGACAAGUUGAUUCAAAUCUCUUAACAUUUUGGUUUAAUAUAUAUUUCAUUUUACGAUUGAACUAUAUUUAUGUUGGUGUUUCGAUUUAGUUUUUAUAGAUAUAAAUUUCAUCAAUCAUUUCUAUAUUUUUUUUAAAUGAUAUGUUUUUUCAGUUAAUAUGUUUGAAGAUCAAUCUAUAUUAAAGUUAGUUUAGGUUUGAGAAAAAUAGUGAAGUUUAAUUAAAAUUCUUUUAAAUUAAUUAGUAUCUUUUACCACUUUCAUGAAAAAAAAAGAGUAUUUAGAAAAGAAAAUCAUUAAAGAUUGGGUUAAAACAAAAUUGGAACAUUAAUGAUAUAAAUUGCAACAUUUCAAAUUUAGAAACUAAAUUUAAACUAAAAUCUAAACUUGAUUAAAAAUAUAAUAAUUUAAAACUUAUGUGACUAAAUUAUAAAAAGAGGUACUUUCCAAUAGUAAUAAAAUAACCACAAAAUCUUUACACAAAUAACAAAAUAUAUCUUUAACUCAAAAAAUAAUUUACACACAAUUUUUUUAAUUUUGGCAAUUUACCUGAAAAGGUCCAAAAACUAAUUAUGAAAAGAAAAUAUACUUUUUCGAAAUAGUUUGAAAGAGCAAAAUUGCUCUAAAUUUUUACUAAAUAUAACAAAAUUUGAUAAAAUUAUAUUAUAAAAAUUUAUAAAUAUUUUGAUUCAUUUUGCUAUAAUUAAAAAUUUUAAAUUGUAGCAAGGUGAAUCACAAAAUUUUUAAAAUAUAAAAAAAAUUUUAAAAUAUAACAAAAUUUUAUAUUCUAUCACUAAUAUAGGUAGACUUCUAUUGGUUUCUAUCAUGUCCCCUAUAGACAUCGAUAGAAGUCUGUAUCUAUCAUUGAUAUAAUAUAAAAUUAUGAUACAUUUUGAAAAUAUUUUUUACAAUGUUACUAUUUACAAUAAUUAUUCUCUUUAAAAACAAUCCUAUUAUUUUUUUUUAAUUCUCCCAUUGGAUUUAUUAUACAUUUAUCAAAGUUUGAAAGUUGAAUUAAUAGUUACUAAAGAGUUCAUUGAAGGUCUAAUUUUCAAAUUUAAGAAACGAGUAGGUCAAAAAUAAAAAACUACAACUUCAUAGUCAAAAUCGGUCCAAGUCAUUGUCAUUCACAUUUCAGCUCAGCUUCACAGUCUCCAAAGCUUCUCCAAAGCUCUCCAUUCCAUUCUUCAAUUCCACUCGAAACCAUCUCUUUGCUCCUCACUGCAUUUGAUGGUGAGUUCAGAUUGAAUUUCUUUGCCAACAUUUUUCUUUUGAUUUCAAUGAUUUUCCCAUUUCGCAUUUUGUAACUUCGUUGACCAUGGCUUCUGCAGGCGCCCAAACCUGUUACCAGUCACCUUCUCAACUCUUCCUUCCCAACUGGGGUCUCAAUGAUCGCCUCUAUGGCCUCAUUGUUGCCGCUUCCUCUUCUAUGUAAGUUCGAUCGGAAUUUUCGCUUUUUAGCUUAAUGAAAUCUGGGUUAUGUUAGUUUUUCAGUGUCAAAUGAUGAAUUUGCAUUCCUUUUCGUUUUAUUCAAGUUGAUCAGAGUCUGUAUGCUUUUACUAUUUACUUUCUGGCGUUUUUUUCUGCCUUAAUUCCCUUUGAUUACUGUGAUACCAAUUAGAAGAUAACCCAUUGUUUGGUUUGGGAGGAGAUUAUAUGCAACUUUAUUCAUUCGAUCAAAUAUCAUCCUCAUUUUCGUUUUUUUCACACGUUUUGUGUUACUACAUUAAGAAUUGAUUGAAGAGAUGUUGGAGUGUGGUCGAAGUACCACGUUGGCUAGAACAAGGAUGAUAUAUGGUAUGUAAGUGAAGAGAACUAUUUUCAAUGGCACGAGGUCUUUUGGGUGAAUCAAAAAACAUGUCGAGAGUUGUGCCCAAAAUGGAUGAAGAGAUACAUUGGAAAGACUGCCACAAUGUAAUUAAUAUUAUUAGGGCAUGAAGAUUCAAAUCUAUAUUUAAUGGUUAUUAAGAGGCAGUAUUGAAAGAUCUUUUCACUGUGCUACCAUUGAUGAAAAUGGAAAGCCACGAGAGAUUGGAUACGAGUGUGUUGCAAAGCCCCAAGCUCUUUUCUAGGAGGCUCCAUGUUUUUAAUGAAACUUAGGGUGGAACUCGUUUUCAUAAUUCAAAUCUGUGUUCUACCUUCCAGCAAAAGAGGGUCAACUUGACCAUCAGUAAAGAAGAGUCCUCUGUACGCUUGUUCAAUAGAAGUCCUCCAGUUAUAGGAGCAUUCCACCUUUAAUAUUGAGCAAGGGGGUUAAUCCAAAACUCUAGGAAUAGGAAGGUUGACUCUUGGACAGGUCCUUUGUUCAUUGUUGAGGAUAUUUUCUUUCACCUGUUACUUGGUCUAGAAGUAGUGAAGUUGCUCUCUGUCCUGAAUUUCUUCUCGCAAUAUUUUUCAAAAUUUUAUUUGAAAAGAAAAAUGAAGAAAUUUGUUCUAGUUUUCUUCAAAUAUUUUUUUACCCAAUUCCACCUGUUCAUUUUUUUUCAUCCUGUAUUGAAAUGCUCGGGAAAAUGCAUAAUGGUAAGGAGUCAUUGAUAAUGGUGGUGUUAAAUUUUUUCUCUCCUUUUGUUGUAAAUGAGACCAUUUGACUAUGUUAUGCAUCAGCUUCCACCAUUGUAGUUGGUGGACCUCCUGCCAUUGAAAGGGUUUGGAUAUCCUACAUUUCUGAAUCUCCUAUACUUGACUUGGACUGUGAUUGGAACAAUGAGUGAACAAUCAUUUCUUCUUUGACUGAAGGAAAGUAAUCAGUAAUAUGGACAACAAUGGUCUUUCUAGUAGUAGAUUUAAAAGGUAGCUUGAAGAUCUGAAGUUUCUAUGUUUUGUCAUCCUUGACUUAAAGGUUGUGACAGGAUGCUAGAACGAAUGUAAUUGCAACAAUGAAAACACAGAUGUUUCGAUUGUAGGCUAUGGUUAUAAUCUGUCUCUGUUUAGAUGAUGAUUCGUAUCAUGGAAAACUAUUGAUAAAUUCAGUUUGAAGUUCGAUUAGAUCAAAUUUUAGUGCAAUCAUCUAAUGCAAUGGCUGUUUUCAGACGUCAUGUGAGUGUCAUUUCAAUAGAUAAAAUCCAACUUUCAUCUUCUCAUGGAAAGGGUCAUGCUAACCACAGUGAAUAUCAUUUGCAGCUAUGAAGAGACGUCUUCUAGAAAAAUCCGUAGUCUGGCCAAGGGACUUACUGGAGGAGCACCUGCCUUUGUCUUCUUGGUAUGGAUCUCUCUGUAGAUUUAUCUUAUCAUAUCAGAUUUUCUCACCGGUGAAAUGUUCGUGUUUGCCCAUUGACUUCUGUGCAAUGAAUGUUAAAACAGAUAUGAAUUAAUUUGGUUCCAUAACUAAUUAACUAAUGGGCAAAUUUGACAGGAUAGUGUUAGGUAUUGAAAUAACUGAAUAUAGUUCAUGUUGUUAGGUUUUAACUCUUGUUUGAUGUAAAGGCUUCUUGAUUUAGCAUCGUCAAGUAAGUGUCAUUUUCGCAAAAUUGUUCUCUUUACAAGCAAGUAAUUGUAUUGCUUAAGCAAAUAAUUUUUCUUUUUCUCUUAUAUUACCUUCAUUACUUGAAAUUCACAUUCGGAAAUAUUUAUGUCCUUUUCAAAAUUUCCAAAUCUUCUGAUUUCUUGUUUAAUAAUGAUUUCGUGAUUACCUUUUGGUUUCUAAAAUUUCACUUGUCUAUUUCUUUUGAGGAGGAAGUUUUAAAUUUUUUAAGGAAAACGGUAGAUUAGUUGCAACAUGAGAAAAGUUAUCAGUAAAUAAGCCUAGUUUUUAAAAAUUAGUUACAAAGUUUUAUGAUUUGCAAGCUUAACUUCCCUACGUAUAUGAUUGUUGAAUUUACAUAAUUGGUAAAGUUGUGCAAGUACUUUCUUUAGGAGGGGGCAUCCUCUUCCUCGACAUUAGGUUGUUGCCUUAUCCUUUUUGUGAAAUAUGCUUUCAAAAUUCUUAUUUUUAGAAAAAGAUAGUUACAAAAUUGUUAUAAGAAAUAUUCUAAGAUAAAUAUAGCACUCUUAAAAUUAUCUCCUUGGCAUCCUUAUCAUAUCCUUUUAUCCAAAAAUAUUAUAAAAAAUAGAAUGAAAUUUAAAAAUAGCUCAGUCAAACCCAAUACAAGCUUGUACAUCUGGCAUAUAAUAAAAAGAAGUUGAAAAAAGAAAGCGAAGAAGAACAAUGCUAGACUGAACCAAAAUUAUCUUUCUAAUAUAUUACAGAACACAAUUUGACUCUAUAUACAUAACUAAUCUUUUUAGACUUUGAAUUAAAACUUGAUUAUUUAUAUUGUUUUAUUACAAGGAGUUAUAAGUGUGUUCACAUACUUGCAUUUUUUUUGGAAGACAAACCAACAUUGUUAUAUGUAGGCACGCGCGCACACACAUGUACGCAUGUAUGAUAAUAGAAAUUAAAAGAAAAAAAAUUAAAACUCUUACCAUUAUUCUUAUAAUUAAAAAAAGACACAAAUUUGUUUAUAGGUAUGAAUCCUAAUUACGUUUAAAAUUCAGGGCUUAGUUAUCUAAUCCAAAAUUUAGAUGCAGUUGAAUAAAACCUUAAAAAAUGCCAAAAUGUUUGGCUUGAAAAUAGGACAGAGGUAGAGGUAGAGGCAGAGGCAGAGGCAGUUUUCUAAAAGUAGUCGAUGACAUUGUCCUUUUCUUUUGUCUCUUUGUUAAAUGCUUAUAAAAAGCACCUUGCUCUUGCAGCGGAACUCACCAUUCCUUCAGUGGUCUUGCAUCUGCCUCUCACAUUCUCUAUCUGCCCAUUUUAAACAAGGGCAAGGGAGGGGUAGAAAGAAGAAUAAGAAAUCCAUGCGCUCGCUUCUGUUGCCUCUCACUGAAAACAUAUAUUAUCUCUGCACGAGAGCGAGCUACAAAACAAGUUGCUGUUGAGGACCAGAGGGGCUGGCUUGCAAAAUUUUCAGAAUGCCAAAGACUGUGCUGCUGUUUUUGUGUCUGCUUACAUGGGUUUGUUCUACAAUAGGCUCCGUGACUUAUGACCAUAAAGCCAUCAUCAUUAAUGGUCGGAGAAGAAUUUUGAUUUCUGGCUCUAUUCAUUACCCAAGAAGCACACCCCAGGUUUAGAUACAUCCACGGUGAAUCGCUGGUGCUUUAUAUUAUCUCUUUCUAAAACUUUUUCUUGGGUUUUUGUGGUGGUUGUAGAUGUGGCCGGACCUCAUACAGAAGGCUAAAGAUGGAGGGUUGGAUAUUAUAGAGACAUAUGUUUUCUGGAAUGGCCAUGAACCUUCUCCUGGCAAGGUAGCAUGGGAAAACAUUUUGUCUUUGCUUUCUGAAUUCUUUUGUUUUAGUAUUUUUGAUAUUUUGAUGUGCAAAUGUACAGUAUUACUUUGAGGAAAGAUACGACUUGGUGAGGUUUAUAAAGCUGGUGCAGCAAGCAGGCUUAUAUGUUCAUCUCCGGAUCGGUCCGUAUGUCUGUGCAGAAUGGAACUAUGGGUAAAAUAAAUUGAUACUACCAGAAUCUUAUCUUAUAUAUAAAUUAUUUUCAUGUGGCUCUGUUCUGAUUUCCCUCCCAUUUUUAAUGUCACUAAUUCAGUGGAUUUCCUAUUUGGCUAAAGUUUGUUCCUGGCAUUGCCUUUAGGACAGACAAUGCACCUUUCAAGGUUAGAAAAUGCUGAAAUGUCCAUGGACUCUCCCGAAGCAAAUAAUUUUAUGGCCUAUUUACUCUUAAAAAACUGAUCUAAUUUUCUUUAAUAAAGGCGGCUAUGCAAAAAUUCGUUUAUAAGAUUGUUGAUAUGAUGAAGUGGGAGAAGUUAUUUCACACCCAGGGAGGACCCAUUAUUUUGUCUCAGGUAACUUCCAAACAUGUGAAGAAAAAUCUUUGCUCAUAUUCAGAAUGGGUUUCCUGCAUAUUUAUCAUUCAAUAAAAACACAUUAACAGUGAUACACUUUACAUUGUUUGUCUCAAUGUUUGGCAUGACAGAUUGAGAAUGAAUAUGGACCAGUGGAAUGGGAAAUAGGUGCCCCAGGGAAAUCUUAUACCAAAUGGGCUGCUCAAAUGGCGGUAGGUCUUAAAACUGGAGUCCCAUGGGUGAUGUGCAAGCAAGAGGAUGCUCCUGACCCUUUGGUAAGCCAUUCUAAUCUCUUUCUGUUGUGGAUUUAUUUUCCUUUUGCGGAUGUCUCUUUGCUGAGGAACAUGUAUUGGGGUUGUUUCUGACUCGUUCAAACUAUUGAUGGAAUGAAAGAGACUAGAAAAAAAAAAUUUGAUACACUUGGACCCAUACUUGUCUUUUUUUAUAUGUUUCUCUUGCUUAUUUCAAUCACUAUGUGAAUUUGUCAUUUGCUGUAUUUCUCAAUGUCUUAAAUCCUUUGAAGGCGAAAAUGAAAUACAAUCUUCUGUUUUCCCCUAUUUCUAUUCUUUUUGGGAAUUCUUUGAAGUUUUGACUUUGUCUCUGGAUCAGUUAAAAUUCUAUGGUUUCUUCAGCAUAAAUGCUUGUCUUCUUUUUUAAGUAUAAUUUUUAUUUUAUUGAACUAAACCAGUAGAAUUGUGGAUUUUGUAGAUAAGCUUUCUUUGUCAUUUUCUAUAUUCUCCCUUUUAAAACUUUUGUCUUCAUGGUGGUUAUGUCUCUCAGAUUGACACCUGCAAUGGGUUUUACUGCGAAAAUUUCAAACCAAACCAGAUUUAUAAACCCAAAAUAUGGACAGAAAACUGGAGCGGUUGGUAUGUGAUUUAUCCUCUGUAUUGGCUAAAGUCCGAGAAAAAAGAAAUUGACUUUUGAGGGAUUAGAUCACUUGCAUGUCACCAGAGGUCCUUUAGAAUUGACAUUCUUCUCAUUUGUGUAAUAUUCAAGGUACACUGCAUUUGGUGGUCCAACUCCUUACAGACCACCUGAAGAUGUGGCCUUUUCAGUCGCAAGAUUCAUACAGAAUGGUGGUUCUCUCGUCAAUUAUUAUAUGGUAAUGAGCUAUUGAGUGUUCAGUAAAGGUUAACUGAUGAAUGGAAUUAUCUCACAUCUGUAAAUCUGUUAAAAUUUUCUCAUAUGGCAGUACCAUGGAGGAACUAACUUUGGCCGAACAUCUGGUCUUUUCGUUACCACUAGCUACGACUUUGAUGCUCCAAUAGAUGAAUAUGGUAUGCUUUAGAAAUACUGAAAUAGUAGCUUCUAAAAAUAGGUUAUUAGAUGCUUCUAUUACUCUGAUAAUUUUUUGUGGUUUUGACAGGCCUAUUAAGGGAACCGAAAUGGGGACAUCUAAGAGAUUUGCACAAAGCCAUCAAGUUGUGCGAACCUGCUUUAGUAUCAGCAGAUCCUACCAGUACAUGGCUUGGGAAAAAUCAAGAGGUGGGUUUUGAAAGAAUAUCUAUGAACAAUUGCAUUUUUCUUUGAAAGACAGUCUAAUUUGAUUUUUUCAAUGAUUAUUGAAGGCUCGUGUCUUCAAGUCAAGUUCAGGGGCAUGUGCUGCUUUCCUAGCAAAUUAUGAUACAUCAGCUUUUGUAAGGGUCAACUUUUGGAAUCACCCAUACGAUCUACCACCAUGGUCGAUCAGCAUCCUUCCUGAUUGCAAAACUGUAACUUUCAACACUGCAAGAGUAAGGCGAGAUCCAAAAUUAUUUAUUCCAAAUCUUCUUAUGGUUAUAUGGUUGUCGAGAAUUACGUGUUGCGUCUGAAAAUGAUUGUUAAAGAAACAAAAUGAUUAAACAUAGGCUUAUGAAACCUUUGAAAUUCUUAAUAAGCCAAAGUGGCGUUAUUUGAAUAUCUUUUCUAUGUUGAAAAGAUGAAGUUUGAUGCAAGGGAUCUUUACAGAUUGGGGUUAAAAGUUACCAGGCAAAAAUGACGCCAAUUAGUUCAUUUUGGUGGCUUUCGUACAAAGAAGAACCUGCCUCUGCUUAUGCUAAGGAUACAACAACCAAGGAUGGGUUAGUGGAGCAAGUAAGCGUCACCUGGGACACAACAGAUUAUUUGUGGUACAUGACAGAGUAAGUCCUCUAUACUUAAUGAAUUUUCACCAUCUUUUGAGCAUAAAAUGUUGUUAUAUCUUACUCUGUCCCACGUUUAUCUUUCUUAGUAUAAGGAUUGAUUCGACUGAAGGCUUUCUAAAGAGCGGACAAUGGCCCCUUCUCACAGUCAAUUCGGCAGGCCAUAUUUUGCAUGUUUUCAUAAAUGGCCAACUAUCUGGUACAUUUAAACACACACAUUUUUAACUUAAAGAACUUCCGAGCAUUAGCUAAAUGAUUCUAAGAUCGUAGCAAUAUUAUUUUCUGAAUGUAGGAAGUGUAUAUGGGAGUUUGGAGGAUCCCAGAAUAACUUUCAGUAAAUAUGUUAAUCUAAAGCAAGGAGUUAACAAGCUUUCCAUGCUGAGUGUUACUGUCGGUCUUCCGGUUAGUUUCUUCGUUACUAUAUUUCUUAUUAUUGAUUUCCGGUUAGUUUCUAUGUUACCAUAUUUCUUAUUAUUGAUUAUGUAAUCGACUUACCUUUUCAUUUGUUUUAUGUCAGAAUGUUGGCCUGCAUUUUGAUACUUGGAAUGCUGGAGUUUUAGGCCCUGUCACGUUGAAGGGUCUGAACGAGGGCACUCGAGACAUGUCUAAAUAUAAAUGGUCUUACAAGGUACAUUACCAAAUCGAUGUACCGGAGCUUUCACUUUCUGUUUUUUCUUUUCUGUAUUCUUGAAAAACAGUAGUAAUGCUUUUAGAAGCUACAGAAUCUCAAUUACAAUGUUCCUGAGCAGGUUGGUUUGAGAGGAGAAAUCUUGAAUCUUUAUUCUGUUAAAGGAAGUAAUUCUGUGCAAUGGAUGAAAGGCUCAUUUCAAAAGCAACCCCUCACAUGGUACAAGGUGAGCGAAUUUCAAACUAGCAUCCUUUAAUUUCUACAUCUUUUUUUAUUGUGAAAACUUCACCCGUGGAAUCCGCAGACCACUUUCAAUACCCCGGCUGGUAAUGAACCAUUGGCUUUAGACAUGAGCAGCAUGAGUAAAGGUCAAAUAUGGGUUAACGGUCGGAGCAUUGGCCGCUAUUUUCCUGGAUAUAUUGCAAGGGGCAAGUGUAACAAAUGCAGUUAUACUGGAUUCUUUACUGAGAAGAAAUGCUUGUGGAAUUGUGGUGGACCCUCUCAGAAAUGGUAAGUCAAAUCGCUCUAAAAGCAUAUCCUUAAUCAUUGAAGGUUUACUUUUAAAGUUUUACAUUCAAUUAUCAUUUUUACCAUUUUAAAUUCAUUCCUAACUAAGCAUGCCCUCAAAGUUUUUUCUCUAGCUAUCACCAUUGAUAAACAUUUCAAAAUCUCAGGUAUCACAUUCCCCGCGAUUGGUUAAGUCCAAAUGGCAACUUAUUGAUAAUUUUGGAAGAAAUUGGUGGGAAUCCUCAAGGGAUUUCUUUGGUUAAGAGGACUGCAUUCUGAUGGUGAUAUUAUCACGAAGCUUUCUAUUGAGAGGCUGCCUUGCAACUAAUGAUGGAAUCUAUACUAAAUGUACACACAGUGAUGAAGUUUGUUAAUAUACAUAGAAAUAUAUGAUAUUCUUGGGUCAAAGCUUUGAUCUGUUUAAUUUGGAGGUCUAUGACUUUAUGUAAAUAUAUCUUUUAUACGAUUAUAUAAUUUUUGAAUACAAUAAAAUAAGUGUUAACUUGAGCAUCACAAAUUGUAUCACGAAGUUAGGAGUUUGAAUCUCGCAAACUCCACAAGUCAUCGAACUAAAAAAAAAUAAAGUAACAUUUUAGUACAUUUAUUUUGAAGUAUGAUUUUAGUGUGUACUUUCAUAUGUUUAAUGGUAGUAUUUGUGGUUCAAUAAAUUUAAAUUGGGUAAUUAUAAUUGAUGAUCAUUUUAGAAAUAAUAAUUAAGGAUAUAUCAACAUUUAAAAAAAUUGUAAAUAUAGCAAAAUUAUCAUUGAUAGAUUUGUAUGAUCUAUCAAUGAUAGACCAAUAUUUACAACAUGGUCUAUCGGUGAUAGACUUCUAUCAUUUAUAAAAUUUGACAAAUUUUGUUAUAUUUUUAAUUUUUAAAAAAUGUUGUUAUAUACUUAAUUAUUUUACCUUUAAUGGCUAAGUUUGCAACUAACUUAUUUAAAUUUAGUCUUUUAAAAUAUUUCAUGCAUCGAAUAAAAUAAAUUAUGUGAAUAUGUUUUCAAAACUUUAGUGAAAUGUCAAUAAACAAUAAAAAGCUUUUGAAAUUUGACCAAUAAACAAGCAACAGUGACUAAAUUUAUAAUUUAUUUAAAGUAUAUGAACUAAAAUUAAAAAUGUGGAAGUGUAUUGACUAAAUUUAAACAAAAUUCAAACGGUAGAAAUCAAGUAAAUACACAAUCACGAUCCCCUACACUUAACUAAGCUCUGACAACAAGUUUUAGAUAAUUUUUUAAAUCAUCGAGAUCAAACGAACACAAACUCGAAAGUUCACUAUAGUUUACUUGGGUAUGAUAAAGUAUGCUAUGCCCAACUCUCUUUCUCUUCUUGGUCUUUGCUCCCUUUGCCAUCCACCCAUUUCUUGGAUUUUUCUAAUCCUCACGUCAUUACUAAGAAUGUACUAACAACAAGUUCUAUUAUCCAUGCUUUACCUCACAUUAUUACUAAAGCUUCAAAGUCGUAAACAAUAACAUGUGGAAAUUAUGGCGUGUAAGAGCACUAUUGUAUUGAACUAGUUGAACAUGACACUGAGCGCAAGGAAAGGAGGUGUACAAACACAAAGGAAGAAAGAAGAGUCGUAGUGUGUGAAAAUGCUAACGUCACACGUUCUUAAUUUUCACGCUCACUAAAUUUACGAUACACAAUAUACGUAACUAACAUGGUCUUUGUGCAUAUAACAAAGUUGGUUGUGCAUAUAACAAAGGGCAAUCCUCCAUUAUUUUAUAAAAUUGGAUAAAUAACAUUGCUAAAAAAAGGGUAAAGUAAAAUUGGGCUUUUUUUUCGUUUCAGCAAAAAUAACCCUAAAAUACUCCAUUCCCAAGUUCUUCCGUCUGGGCGCGACUUCAGUCUUCAAUUCCCCUUGUGUCGAUACAACUAGAGAGAUCUCUUUGGAAUCAAUUUUUCUUCGCCUCCACCGGAUUUCAUGGUGAGUGAAUUUGAAUUCGAUCCAAAUCUGCUUUUUGAAUUUCAUUGUCUUCACCAUUUUGCAUUUUGUAAAUUCAUGGAUCAUGCUUUUACAGGCUCCGAAACCUGUUACCAGUCCCGUUCCUGAAGCUUGGUACCCAACCCUUGCCGUCUUGAUGAUCUCUGUUGGCCUCAUCGUUACCGCUUCGUUUUUCAUGUAAGUUUGAUCGGAUCUGUUCUGUCGAAAUGAAAUCUGGCCAAUCUUAAUUAUUCUGCGCCAAAUGAUAGGUUUUCUCUCUUGCUGCCUCUAUACAAGUAGAUUAGGGAGUUUUUGCUUGCUUAAUUCACUUUAAUUGCAAUGGAUUGCUUUAAUAUUUGGACUUGGAAGUGAGGGAUUGCGGAAAUUUCUCGAUCAAAUUAAGUAUCUUUUUGUACCAUUCAUGCUGUGAAAUUUAUAUUCGAAUGUGUUGACGUUCAUCCAUUUAGUUUUCAAAUUUGUCCUUAAUGUAUUUCAUUGGGCGUCUGCCUCUUGAUCUGCAACUACUGCUAGGGUUAUUAUCAGCCUCUUUGAGCGGUGAGCCUCAUUGAUCAUUUUGUAGUGACAGAUUUUUACAUAUAAUUGGAAGUCAAUUUUCAGACCUUUAGUUGAGUGGCGAGUCUCUUACGAGUUACGAUUAUAAUUUUCCAUAUGGUUUCCAUUGAGGAUGUGGCCUUUUUACUAUGAUAUGAUUCAGCUGCUAUUGCCUGUUGUUGAAGUUGGUGAAUUUCUUGCUACACCAAUGCUUAAAUUAGCUCUAUAUUGAAGAUGAUAUCUAUGUCGAGAAAAAAUUAUUCAAUUCGAUAAUCGGGUUUGAAGUUGAUGAUUAUCCUGCCACAUUUAGGGUUAAAUCUAUUGUAUAUAUCUCUGAUGCUUUAUAUGGAGUAUUGUUUGCUUUGUGUUACUUGAGGCGCUAAGACUUGCCCGUUGAACCGAAGCGUGUGCCUGGGUUGGCUAUUUAAACCACUGCUUAGGAAGUCUUGUGGUUUGAGGUCGUUCUAACGGCAAUGAAUAUCAUUUGCAGCUAUGAAGCUACAUCUUCCAGGAAAAACCGUAGUCUGGCCAAGGAACUCACUCGAGGAACAAUUGCCUCCAUUUUCUUGGUACAGAUCUUUCUUAUCCUCAAUGCAAUUCUUUUUCAUGGACUCCAUACUUUCACAUUGACUAUUAUUGUACAUCUCUUGUUAGUUAUAUUGCUAGACUUAAUCAUGAAGCCUGAUGUUAUAUAUUUACGGGUUUUACGUUGUCGUCGUCUAUUGCAGGGUUUUGGAUCCUUGUUCUUGUUGCUUGCUUCUGGUGUUUAUGUCUAACCUAUUGAAAGCACAUCUUGAGAAUGUGUUCUUAUGUAGCGAGUCAGUUCUACGUGUAUGAUGCUGGGAAUAGAACUACUUCCUAAAGACGGUGCUCUUUUUUAACAAUGAGGAUUGAACAUUUUUUAAUUUUUAUUGAGCAUUAUACUCAUAAAAUGCAAUAUGUUUGAAGGAAUUUUGUAGGGUUGAGAAAUGGGUAGUGCUGAGAAAUCAGCUUUUUGCUAAAAAUAGAAUCAUGUCUCUCUACAAUUAUGUAGAAAUCAGCUUAUUAUCAUCUUACCUUUGGUGGGCUUUGGUAUUUCAUAAAUCCUUCCCAAAAGACCUAUGAUCUUUCUUAAUCAAAAUGGGAAUCUUGAUUUGAUCAAGCCCUUAUGUAGCCACGUUAUGAUUGCUUUUGGAUCGUCGUGUGGAUUACAAUAGUUAGGGUUUAGGGUGCAAACUAUUUUAGUCUAAGUUAUAAUAGUUUGUAUUCAGGAUGUAACUAUUAUCUUAGUUUAAGUCUUAAUACUUUGUAUUUAGGGUGGAAGUUAUUUUUGUUUGGUUAGGAAAUAGUAUGGUAAGAAAGAUAAAAAGAGAAUAUGAACGAUAAAUAGAAAUCGCUAUAUUUAAUUGUUUAUCGCUAUAUUUAAUUGUAUGUUGUAAAUAUUGUACACAAUACUAUUAUAGUUGAUGCCUUCAAACAAACAACUCUUAUAAGCUCUUUUUACCUCUCUUUUCAAUAUUUUGGAAGAUCUCAAUGUCACCCAGAGUCUCCAUGACAAUAUAUAUAGAUAAGAUUGUUUUAAAAAACAGGGUGAACUCUUCUUGUUGUUCUCUCUUUUUAUUCUCUAUUCACAUUUCAUGCGUUUUUUUUAAUCAAUCAGUAAUCUAAUACUUCGAAUACUGGAUUUGUUUAUUUAUUUAUUCUUUCCUUUCUUGAUUGAGGUCUCCCUUAAUAGCCAAUGGUGAUUGGUUUGGUUUACAACCACCGGCCUUAAUGGUGUUGUGAUCAUUUCCAAUUUUUCACUAACAUCCUUCCAUUAUUUCCUUAAGAAGUUAUCUACCCUGCACAUUGAGUUCGGGUUUAACCUAAUCUUCUUUGCGGGUUGGGUUAAACCCGACCACCUUGAUUACAAAACAAAAUUUGUAAAAGAUCUUUUGAGAUUAUCUAUUGGUCAAAAGAGUUAUGAGUUUAUUAACAAAAUAAAAAACACAAAUUAAAGAUGUUGUCAUAUUUGCAAUAUGCAAAAUAGAGGUGUUGUCAUAUUUGCAAUACGAAAAAAAAAGUGCUAUGAGAUACUUUUUUCUGAAUGUUUGUUUUUUUUAUCAUUUGAUGUAAUUUUUCAUUUAAAUUAUGGGUUGAGGAAUUGUAUUAUAAUAAUAUGUUUAACACUGCACUUAUAAACUAAUUAAAUAUUUAUCCACUAUAUUUUAAUAUUUUUAAAAUUUUGUUCUUUAAAAUAAAAUAUUUAAUUCAUCUAUUAAGGUUAUUUAGCGAAAUAUUAUUUUAUAAUUUGGAGUAAUUUUUUUAAAAGAUAAAAUUACUAAAAAGAUUAUAGAAAUGAAAAAAAUUAAUUUUCAUAUACGAUAGUAAUAUAUUGGUAAUUACAUCCUUUUAAAUAUCUUGGUUAAUUUUGUAAUAUUUAAAAACAAGUCUAUAUUAUAUAACAACUUACACAAUGCAUAAUUUAGUUUAAAAAAUUAAUUUUUAAUAUUUCUAAACAUUUCAAUAUACGAAAAAAAGUUUCACUAAAACCUUUAAAUAGAACAAAACAAAAAUAAUUUUUUUAAUGGAUGAUGGACUUUAUCAAUUAUUUAUGAAUGUAACAGAUAAAAUUUUAAAUUACAAGAUUGAAAAACAAUGAUAAGAAAUAGUGUUUUAUUUUUGUGUAUGAGUAUCCAAAUUAAUUGGAUCCGAAAAAAGGAGAAGAAACGGAUGGCUUCAAGUUAACGAGAUUACGACAUGUGUCACCAUCAUGAACCGUAGAUAUUGGUACGACCAUCAUCAUCAUCAUUCAUCCAUUUCCAAAAUAUAUUUUGGUGUCGUAAAGUUUAUCACUGCAAACCUCAAUUCUUCAAGCCUACGGUGGGGUCUCCUUAAGCCGAAGAGAGAGACCCAAAGUCGCUGACUCAACCUCCACUCCAGUGAGCCAUGGACUCUUCUCAGCCGCAACAACAACAACAACAACAACCACCUCCUCAACAGCAGCAGCCACCGCCGCCGCCCCAGCAGCAGACACCUGUUGUCAAGAAGAAGGAAACCAGAGGCCGAAAACCCAAGCCCAAGGACGAGAAAAAGGACGAACAACUAACUAAGAAGAUGAAAGCUCAACAACAACCUUCCGUUGAUGAGCGUUAUACUCAGUGGAAGUCUCUUGUUCCUGUUCUCUAUGACUGGUUUGCUAACCAUAAUCUCGUUUGGCCUUCUCUCUCUUGCCGGUACUUUGCUUACUUCAACUCUUUCUUUCUUUCUUUCUUUCUUUCUUUCUUUCUUAUGCUUUUUACUGUAAUGUAGCUUCUUUUCUCGCCUCUAGGGUUUUCUCUUUGCUCUUUAUUUUACUUCUCUUGUUGUUUUUCUUUGGAUUGUUGGAUCUGUCGUCUUUUGUUUUUUUAGGGUUUUUACUAUUUGUCGCGUUUUUUGUGAAUUUGAGCUUGUGAAAUUGAGUGGGUUAUGUUGUUUUUUGUUAAUUAUCAUGUUGCAUUGUGUUUAUUGGUUUUUAUGUUAUCUUUCAUUCUCUUCUACAGCUAGUUGGUGGGGAUGGGGGUUGGGUAUAUGGUGUUUCUUUGAUUUGAGUUUGACGAUUUUCUGGGUCUAGGUGGGGUCCUCAGCUUGAGCAAGCGACGUAUAAGAAUCGACAGCGACUUUAUCUUUCUGAACAGGUGAGUACCGUAGUGAUUUGUUGAAAUGGCUGCAUUGUUUAUUUCUCUAUGUAAAUAUGCUGAAUUGCGGCUGAGGAUUGUUUAUUUCUCUAUGCUAUAUCACGUUGAAGAUUGUUUUUUAAAAUUUUGUUUACUUUUUGUUUUUUCUUUUCAUUCUUUGUUAUCAGACUGAUGGUAGUGUUCCAAAUACACUGGUUAUUGCAAAUUGUGAAGUUGUGAAGCCUAGAGUUGCAGCUGCAGAGCACAUUUCUCAGGUGUUCGGUCAAUUUCAAAGCUUAAAAGCUCUAUGGACAUUUUUUUUUUUGCCACUCAAUUCAUGUAUCAUGUGUUAUUAUAUUUUCAGUUCAACGAAGAAGCACGCUCACCAUUUGUGAAGAAGUACAAGACUAUCAUACACCCUGGUGAGGUAUGUCUUUGCAACUUCUCAAACAAUGGAGUAUGAAACAUAUGAAAACAUUAGAUAUAGUGAAGUUCAUCUUCAUAUAAGCUGGUUAAUCUCUUCACGCAUUCCCUCUAUAUUAUCAUGUGGUUAUUCUUACAUUAUUUUUUCCCGUUUGAAGGUCUUUCUUCUCAAUCACGAAAAUUAUAUAUUUUUUCGGGAUAGUUGUCGUUUGGUUGGAAGUUGAAAAUGAUGUAAAAUGAAGAGUGUUCUUUUAGAAUUGAUCUUUUUCUAAUGGUCUUUGUUGUAUAUUUUCCCAGGUUAACAGAAUUAGGGAACUUCCCCAGAAUUCUCGAAUUGUUGCCACACACACUGAUAGUCCAGAUGUAUGUGCUGUUAAUUUUAACUCUGGCUGUAUUCCAAUUGGAAAAUUUAUGUCUUCGGUACAUUCAACAAAUAUUGGUCUAAGUCUCUUUGGUAUUCAACAUCCAGGUCCUCAUUUGGGAUGUUGAGGCACAACCUAACCGUCAUGCCGUCCUUGGGGCCACAAAUUCUCGCCCAGAUUUGGUAAUUCUGUUAAAAACUCAAAUUGCCAACUUGUUCUAUGUUGUCCUAUUCUUGUUGCUAUAUCUUAAAACUCUGGUGUAUAUAUCUGUUGGAUGUUUCUAUAUCUAUCCUCUGAUUACAACCUUGUUGGAAUACAUAACACUGAUGUUGGAGUAUGUCUUGCAUUAAAACGAAACUAAUUUUUUUGGCUCUGCAUCAUUAGGAUGUUUUUUGAGAAUAGCUGUUAUGAUAGAAGAUGUUCUUUAUACAACAUUGUUUUAUCACUCUCAUUUAAGUUCUAAAUAUAUAUAUGUAUGGUUUUAAGAGAAACAUGAAGAGACUCAAACAUUCUAUACUUUUAGACUGUGACAGGUCAUUGAUAAGUCUGCAAGACUUCUUAGGUGUAAUUGGCAUGUCUUAACAGCUUUUAACCUGGGCAAAAGAUAAAUUCUUCUGGUGUUUGUAACAUGAACAUUCUAAACUUGCUUGUUUCGUAAUCUUGUGUUAACUUGCUGUCAAUUUGCAGAUCCUUACUGGUCAUCAAGAAAAUGCCGAGUUUGCUCUAGCAAUGUGCCCCACUGAACCUUAUGUUCUCUCUGGAGGUUGAAAGCCUUCCAAUCUUUUUCUAUCCUUAAAUUGGUCCUGCUAAUUAAAUUCAAUCUGGAAAGUUAUGCUCAACUCUACCACUGUUUCAGAUGUAGAUGUCAAAUUACUUUUGUUAUCUUUUACGAAACCUAUCUUCUUCUUCUUCUUUUUUUGCUGUAGUGGAUUUUAUGACUAUCUUAUGGUUUGGAUUCUCGUUUGUGGGGUUCUGUUUCUUAUAUGCUAUUUAAUCUUAUGGCAGGGAAGGACAAAUUAGUUGUUUUAUGGAGUAUCCAGGACCACAUAACAACUUCUGCCACAGAUGCUGGUGCUUCAAAAUCACCAGGAUCUGGAGGAUCUAUCAUAAAGAAGCCUGGAGAGGCAAAUGAUAAAGCUUCUGAUGGCCCUUCUAUUGGGCCACGAGGAGUUUACCAUGGCCACGAGGAUACCGUUGAAGAUGUGACCUUCUGUCCAUCCAAGUAAUAUCUUAGUUCUGAAUUACAAGUUAUUCACUAUUUUAUUGUGUGCAUUAUCUAUACAUGGAUGUAUGGACAUGGAAUAUAAAACCGUUUUUAUUCAAAAAGAUACUUUGAUUAGCAUGUAGAGUAGAACGGUUAAUUUCUAGUUGGGGCUGGUUUAUUUGGUUUGACCAAGAUGAGAGGUUUUGAAGGGUAGAGUUUUGCAUGGCGGAUGAGGAUUGGUUUGCAGUUAAAAGAAGUGCUCUUGAUUAUGCUAUGUAUAAACUAUUGAUUAGAGAAUAAUGUUUACAGUAUACUCUCUUCACAACACUGAAAAUAGUUUUAAAAAGAACUUCAAUAAAACUUCUUAUUUUUUAAUCUUCCAAGUUAAAGAUCGCACCCAUAAUAAUUUUUUUUGAUGCUUUAAUUUGGUUGUGACUUGGUAUAAAGAAUCUCUUUUCACUUUAGGUAUAGUUCCCUUCUACCUAGAUGAAGAGGUCUCUUGUAAUCUUUAUAUUGAGGUCUUCCCCUUUUUAUAAAUUCAUGUUGCACCAUCCAUGAAUAAAUUCUAGUCGCACCUCCAUGAAUUAAUUCAAGUCGCACCAUCCAUGAAGUUGUUUCUUAACACCCAUCAUGAAAAAUGAAAAGAGUAUUUAACUUUGUGUCUUCAUGUUCAUGUACGUCUGUUUUUAUUUCACUUGAGUGGAUGGAAUUCAAUUUUUAGUGAUUUCUUUGCCAAGUUUAACCAGCAACUUCCCGGUCUUGCCUUCUUUAGUGCACAGGAGUUUUGCAGUGUGGGAGAUGAUUCUUGCCUAAUAUUAUGGGAUGCCCGUACUGGCUCAAGCCCUGCUGUCAAGGUCGUACUUCUCUUGUUUAAUUUUCUCUGUAACAAGGGGUUAUCCUUGUCAGAUAAUUUGGAUGUUGAAACUUAUCAUUCUCCCAUUAUGAGUAAUAUUUUUUGUUUGUUAUGGUAAUAGGCUGAGAUUUCCAUGGUGUUUGUUUGUAGUAGUGAUUGUUUUGUUUUGUUCAUUUCAACUUUCAAGUAUUGUGUAGGAGAUUUACCCUGCAAGAUGAAAUGGAUAUCCAACAAUUUAAUUCCGCCUUUGAUGUUUUUAUAAUCAGAGCGCAUAUUUUUGGAAAUUCUUUUAUUCAUUCUAGUACUUCUUUCUGGUUGACAGGUCGAAAAGGCACAUAAUGCUGAUCUUCAUUGUGUUGAUUGGAAUCCCCAUGAUGAUAAUCUUAUAAUAACAGGGUAAAUUUUAGUACCUUUUUUUUUUCUUUCACUUACUAAUGUUUAUGGAAAAUUGUCUUAUAUAUUUAUAUAAAAAAGAGAAAAAUAUACAGAGAUGGGGAGUGAGAAGAAAUAAUAAGUAGCACGAUGGUCUUACUGAUAUUUUCUCCUACUUAAUUAGAUUAGAUUUUGUGUUGUAUUUGGUUUGGUUUCUGUUAGGAUACUAACAAUAAUUUAGACCGAAAGGACUGUAUAAAUGGCUUAAACAGAGGCGGUACUCUGGUUUACUUUAUUUAUAUAUAAAGCCAAAUGAUCCAGAUUCACAAGAUGAAAAGAAAUAACAAGAAACAACAAGGAAAAAUGCAGAAAAGAUCAUACCAGCCUCUUGGUUUUAAGAGACCCUGGUGGCUGCUGUAGCCCUACCUCCUAAAAGAUAAAAAUACCCUAGCUACUCCAACCUAAUAAUCCUAUUUAUAGACUCACAUAUUCCUCAGCCCAGUGGGCCCUACCACUCAGAACGUCCUUCCAAUCAUUUCUCCAUAAUAAUUCCCUGUGCAGUUACUUUUCUACCCUUCCUCCUAUAAGUAUGGAUAAUUGGGGGUCUUACAGUUUCAUCAUCUUAUAGAUAUUGCAGUGGAAUACAUGAUUACAUUUGGCACAAAUUUCUCUUCAGGUCAGCAGACAAUUCUAUUCGUUUGUUUGAUCGUCGGAAUCUCACUUCUAAUGGAGUUGGCUCACCAAUCUAUAAAUUUGAGGGCCACAAAGCAGCAGUUCUUUGUGUUCAGGUAUUCUUUUUGUUUUUUAAGUAGUUUAAUUAUGGGAUUGUUUGGAUUUCCUUCCAAGUGCUUAAAAAUACUUUUCUUCUUUCACUUAGAAACACUUUUUUAAGCACUUAGAAAGAGGUUCAAAUGGGCACUACACUAUAUUUGCUUGUCUCAUUACCACUCUUUAUUUGAAAAUGCUCUUGGCGUUAGUUGUAAGAUGUAUUGACUGUACGAUAUGGUUCGUGUAUUUUUGUUCAGUGGUCCCCAGAUAAAUCAUCUGUCUUUGGAAGUUCAGCAGAAGAUGGGCUGUUAAAUAUUUGGGAUUAUGAUAAGGUAUAGUAUUUUAAGAUUUAAACCAUGUUUUAUUCUUCAUGAUCUCGCUUGUAGAAUACCUAGGGUUCAGUUCAACGCUGGAAGUCAGGAUAAUUCUAUAUUGAACUAUGAAUUUCUUUUCGUCUUUAGCUUAGAGGUCUGAUUCCAGUAACUUUUACGACAUCUAUCUAAUUUGUCUUCGGAUUUUUAUUGGUUUUUUUAGUAUAGAUCAUAAUGUUCGUUGUGAUCUCAGCACAUAUAUAAUAUAUAUUCCAGGUUGGUAAAAAGACAGAGCGAGCUACAAGAACGCCUGCUGCUCCUCCCGGUUUAUUUUUCCAGCAUGCUGGGCACAGGUUUUGUUUUGUUUCCUUUCUUGAUAGUUGAUAUGCAUGAAAAUGAAAAAAGACUGGGACUUUUUUUUUCUUUUUGGUUUUAAAGUUUGCAUUUGGGGCUAGUAUUAUGUAUUUGUAGUGUGAUGGAAAUUUGAUCUUUAUUAGAUCGUCCUUCCCAUCUGAUCUGACCUUCUGGCUUCAUCCAGGGAUAAAGUUGUUGACUUCCAUUGGAAUGCAGCUGAUCCAUGGACUGUUGUGAGUGUGUCUGAUGAUUGUGAUACGACUGGUGGAGGAGGGACAUUGCAGGUCUACCUUUCUCCCUUUCUCUCUCUCUCUCUCAAGAUAAAUAGAUUUGUAUGGUUUCUGAAUAUGGGAAAUGAAGAGAUAAGUUAGCAAACCAGAAGACUUUACACCCUUUAAGCAAGUACAAGGGUUGUGAGCUUAUUAACUCUUUCUGUUAGGAUACUUCCUAACAAGAACAGGAUCUGAAUAUCAUGAAAUAUAACUAUAAAGAAAUACAAGAUAAACCAAAGUAUAAGGCACUUGGAACCUUCCUCUAGUACUCUCCCCCAAGCCUAGAUCAAUCCACACAACAACCUCCCACUCACUCACCUACUCUCCCUCUAUUUAUGACAAGUAAUAAUCAUCAUUAUACAAUAACUACUAGUAACUCAAUAUCUAUCCAAGUGAAUUGAAUAUCUAGUACCUAACAACACGAACUGAAUAUCUAGUACCUAACACUUUCAUUGUGAAUAAAUGAAAGAAUACAAGUGAAUACUAAAAAAGAGAGUAAGCCACCUUUAUUUCUCUAGGUUGCCUACAGUACACGCGAUUGGUUUUUAUUUUAGGUUUUGGGGUUGGAGGGGUGCUAAUUUUCUCGUGAAAUUGCAGAUUUGGCGCAUGAGUGACCUAAUUUAUCGGCCAGAAGAAGAGGUGUUAGCCGAGCUUGAAAAAUUCAAAUCUCAUGUAAUUGAAUGUGCUGCAAAGCCUUGAGAGCUUCGUAAAGUAUUCUACCCAUGUGUUUCUUCUGUUCAGACAAGUUAUUGUAGAUGUUGUGUUUGUAGUAUUAGGUUUCAAAUUCUAGUCCUAUCUUCUUGCUCCAUUCUUUUCUUUUUAUUGUGUGCAACUACUACAAAUAUUCGGCAUAGGCUCUCUCUCUCUCUCUCUCCCUCUCUCCCUCUCACCCUCUCUCUCUACCAUUUAUAGAGUUUAUAGUCGUAGAAUGAAUGUGAUCCAUUGUCGCACCUUCAAAUUGAAUGCUCUUUCCCUGGAUUACUUGUAGCAUGAAUUCUUGGAAUUUGGCCUUAAACAUGUUUAUUAUUCUGCAUUUCGAUUACCUUUUUGAGUUCAACAUGUAUGGGUAUAAUAUCAGGUUAGAGGAUUCAAACUUUUGUUUGGGAAUCGAGCAUUUCUUAUUAUUGCUUGAUCCAACUUAUUUAGCAACUCCUUUAUAUUUCUACAAAACUAGCACUCGAUAAUGGAAAAUUCGACUCUACAGCAACAUUUUUUCUUUGCAUAUGCUUUUGAGUUCAUAAGUUGAGUUGUGAUUCUGUGAUUCCGAGUUGUGCUACAAAAUCGAAUUUUGAGCUUCCAUUGAUUUGAAUCUUAAUAUAUAAUAUAUAUAUCUCCAAAUCUCUCAUCUCAUUGUUCAUUUUUUGCAUUUUGAUAUUUAUUUUGUUUGAAUUUUAUCAUAAAUUUGAGUAGGACGAGGUGUCUGUGUGACUUGUAUCAUUCUUCUUCAUUGGUACUUAUUCAGUUUAUCAGGUAAAAUUUGAAACCAUAUCCCAUCUGUUAAUUAUUAUUCUUUGAAUUCAGCAUGGAAUUGUUAAUUGCAUAUCCAUGUUUGAAGUUCAAUAAUCAAAAUUAAGCUUUGUGGGAAUGCAAUGGGUCAUUAUAACAUGUUCUCUUUUUCUUAUUUUGAAUUCUCUAAUGUUUAUCCUUUAAAUUUUUUCAACAG
RNAcentral lists this long non-coding RNA (22074 nucleotides) under Cucumis sativus (cucumber). RNAcentral describes it as "long non-coding RNA (CSAT_LNC000396)". Lineage: Eukaryota; Viridiplantae; Streptophyta; Magnoliopsida; Cucurbitales; Cucurbitaceae. The record is from RNAcentral.